RNAcentral lists this non-coding RNA (948 nucleotides) under Dopasia harti (Hart's glass lizard). RNAcentral's name for it is "12S ribosomal RNA". The stretch from base 97 to 948 matches the Rfam family "Bacterial small subunit ribosomal RNA". Lineage: Eukaryota; Metazoa; Chordata; Lepidosauria; Squamata; Anguidae. The record is from RNAcentral.
CAUAAAAUUUUGAUCCUAAACUUACCGCUAUUUUGAGUCAAAAUUAUACAUGCUAGCUUCAACAUACCAGUGAAAAUGCCCAAAACAAUCUUAACAAAAUGAAGGAGCCGGUAUCAGGCUCACCAAAAUUUACAAGCCUACGACACCUUGCUUUGCCACCCCUCCACAGGUCCUCAGCAGUAAUCAACAUUAGGCCAUAAGCGCAAGCUUGACCUAGCUAUGACUCAACAAGGCCGGUAAACUUCGUGCCAGCAACCGCGGUUAUACGAAGGGCCUAAAAUAAUACCAACGGCGUAAAGCGUGACUAGAACUCCCCCAGCCUACUUAAAGAAAAUUAAAAUUUAGUCGUGAAACACCAGAAUCAAAAGAAAUCUCCCACACUUAAGAAAGCACGGACCUUUAACUCACCAAAACUAAGAAACAAACUAGGAUUAGAUACCCUACUAUGCUUAGUCCUAACCCCAGAUAUUUUCCCCACUAAAUAUCCGCCAGAGAACUACAAGUGAAAAACUUAAAACUCAAAGGAUUUGGCGGUGCUCCACCCAACCUAGAGGAGCCUGUCCUAUAAUCGACACCCCCCGAUCAACCCUGCCACUCCUAGCCCAACACAGCCUAUAUACCGCCGUCGCCAGCCUAUCCCAUGAGGGGAGAAAAAUAAGCACAAUAGUCCAACCACUAAAACGUCAGGUCAAGGCGUAGCUAAUGGAGCGGAAGAGAUGGGCUACACUUUCUACCAAAGAAAAAACGAAGGGCCCUAUGAAACUUAGUACCAGAAGGCGGAUUUAGCAGUAAAACAAGUAAGAGUACUUUUUUAAAAACAGCCCUGGAGCGCGCACACACCGCCCGUCACCCUCCUCAACAACCACCACACUAAAACUAUAAAAUCAUAAACUACAAGAUGAGGCAAGUCGUAACAUGGUAAGCGCACUGGAAAGUGUGCUUGGAAUA